GGGGUUGUGGCUCAGCGGUAGAGUGCUCAUCUUGCACAUGAGAGGCCCUGGGUUCGAUUCUCAGCACCACA
Molecule: transfer RNA, 71 nt
Filed under: Marmota monax (woodchuck)
Lineage: Eukaryota; Metazoa; Chordata; Mammalia; Rodentia; Sciuridae
Description: tRNA.Ala
Rfam family: tRNA
About the family: Transfer RNA (tRNA) molecules are approximately 80 nucleotides in length. Their secondary structure includes four short double-helical elements and three loops (D, anti-codon, and T loops). Further hydrogen bonds mediate the characteristic L-shaped molecular structure. tRNAs have two regions of fundamental functional importance: the anti-codon, which is responsible for specific mRNA codon recognition, and the 3' end, to which the tRNAs corresponding amino acid is attached (by aminoacyl-tRNA synthetases). tRNAs cope with the degeneracy of the genetic code in two manners: having more than one tRNA (with a specific anti-codon) for a particular amino acid; and 'wobble' base-pairing, i.e. permitting non-standard base-pairing at the 3rd anti-codon position.
Source: RNAcentral